GUGGGGAAUCUUGCGCAAUGGGCGAAAGCCUGACGCAGCCAUGCCGCGUGAAUGAUGAAGGUCUUAGGAUUGUAAAAUCCUUUCACCGGUGAAGAUAAUGACUGUAGCCGGAGAAGAAGCCCCGGCUAACUUCGUGCCAGCAGCCGCGGUAAUACGAAGGGGGCUAGCGUUGCUCGGAUUUACUGGGCGUAAAGGGCGCGUAGGCGGACAUUUAAGUCAGGGGUGAAAUCCCGGGGCUCAACCUCGGAACUGCCUUUGAUACUGGGUGUCUUGAGUAUGAGAGAGGUGUGUGGAACUCCGAGUGUAGAGGUGAAAUUCGUAGAUAUUCGGAAGAACACCAGUGGCGAAGGCGACACACUGGCUCAUUACUGACGCUGAGGCGCGAAAGAGUGGGGAGCAAACAGGAUUAGAUACCCUUGUAGUCC
This 425-nucleotide ribosomal RNA is filed under the name uncultured bacterium. RNAcentral's name for it is "partial 16S ribosomal RNA". It matches the Rfam family "Bacterial small subunit ribosomal RNA", at positions 354 to 796 of the family's 1533-position model. The record is from RNAcentral.